Molecule: long non-coding RNA, 726 nt
Filed under: Brassica rapa (field mustard)
Lineage: Eukaryota; Viridiplantae; Streptophyta; Magnoliopsida; Brassicales; Brassicaceae
Description: long non-coding RNA (BRAP_LNC005694)
Source: RNAcentral
CAUGGUUGUACGGUAGACGUUUUCAAGCUUCAUUGGUAGAUAUGACUACGCACAUGACUACGCACAACGACAAACAAAAAACACUUAUUACAUCAACUUUAUAUGGGCUCUUCCUUUCUAUUUAUGUUUUACCCAGUCUCGUUUUUUUUUUUUUUGAACGGCACCCAGUCUCGUUUUAUCUUUAUUGAUUUUUGCGCUAUUUAUAGAUAUUUUUCUUAUAUGCUCUCCAUCUCUCGCACAAAAGCAGACACAUGUACCUAUAAAUGUUGUUUAUCAAAUUUUGUUUUUUUUAGUUAUUUCACUAAUUCUCCUUAAAAUCUAAUACUAUAACCAAGGUUCAAAAUUACGCUAGGCAUAACACGUAUAGACAGGAAAAACCUAGAACAUAAUGGAUAAAUCGAAGAUUAUACGGAAAGUAAUCGGGGAGGAAUUUUGAAGCUUUUAUAUAAUUUUGAAGAUUUUUAUAUUAAAUAUGUACAAGAAUAACGAUGGUGGCCUUUGGUCUAGUAGUCGGUAUCAUUUGCAUAUAUUACGAGGUGAAGGUUCGAAAGCACAAAGUUAAUUUUUAACCAUUUUUCAGUUUUAGGCUAAUGAAAGUGACAAUUACCAAACUGUCCUCGUCCCUGACCUAUCACUUAGGAGUUUACAACGGCUGUUCAUUCUUUUUUUCUCAUAAUUUCUUCACUUUUUCUUACAAAUCUUGUUCCUUUUAAUCAAAAUAUUGAU